CAGCACGUAGUCUAGAUGACCCUUCCCUGCAUUUACCAUCCCUGACAAAAACACCUGUUUUCACCGAAUGGUUUUGACGUCGAUGGAUGCAGAAAAUAACCGAAAGAACAAUCAUCGAAAAACAUGUCACCCCUUGACCCAAAUGAACUCAAACCCCCCACCGCCACCGUGUCAAAACUGGGCCCAAGAACCAGCGUCCAGUCCAUGAUCAGAAGAAUUCUGAAGAGGAAAACAUCUGUAAGCAUUUCGGAGGACAGUGAUAGCAGAUCUGUGAGGUGGUGUUGCUUACCAUGCGAAUGUGACCAGGACAAGAGAGACAGCUACAGAAUGCAUCUGUCGGCGAGCGAAUUUUUCAUCGAAUAUUAAAGUCAAAACCAUUUAUUGA
Molecule: long non-coding RNA, 385 nt
Organism: Argiope bruennichi
Lineage: Eukaryota; Metazoa; Arthropoda; Arachnida; Araneae; Araneidae
Exons: 2
Source: RefSeq, a predicted model, not a curated record